UACGUAGGUGACCAGCGUUGUCCGGAUUUAUUGGGCGUAAAGAGCGUGUAGGCGGCCAGGUAGGUCUGCUGUGAAAACUCGAGGCUUAACCUCGAGCUGUCGGCGGAAACCAUCUGGCUAGAGUCCGGAAGAGGAGAAUGGAAUUCCCGGUGUAGCGGUGAAAUGCGCAGAUAUCGGGAAGAACACCCGUGGCGAAGGCGGUUCUCUGGGACGGUACUGACGCUGAGACGCGAAAGCGUGGGAGCGAACA
RNAcentral lists this ribosomal RNA (250 nucleotides) under uncultured bacterium. Its description in RNAcentral is "partial 16S ribosomal RNA". It matches the Rfam family "Bacterial small subunit ribosomal RNA", at positions 524 to 774 of the family's 1533-position model. The record is from RNAcentral.